GGUUAAGCGACUAAGCGUACACGGUGGAUGCCCUGGCAGUCAGAGGCGAUGAAGGACGUGCUAAUCUGCGAUAAGCGUCGGUGAGGUGAUAUGAACCGUUAUAACCGGCGAUUUCCGAAUGGGGAAACCCAGUGUGUUUCGACACACUAUCAUUAACUGAAUCCAUAGGUUAAUGAGGCGAACCGGGGGAACUGAAACAUCUAAGUACCCCGAGGAAAAGAAAUCAACCGAGAUUCCCCCAGUAGCGGCGAGCGAACGGGGAGGAGCCCAGAGCCUGAAUCAGUGUGUGUGUUAGUGGAAGCGUCUGGAAAGGCGCGCGAUACAGGGUGACAGCCCCGUACACAAAAAUGCACAUGCUGUGAGCUCGAUGAGUAGGGCGGGACACGUGGUAUCCUGUCUGAAUAUGGGGGGACCAUCCUCCAAGGCUAAAUACUCCUGACUGACCGAUAGUGAACCAGUACCGUGAGGGAAAGGCGAAAAGAACCCCGGCGAGGGGAGUGAAAAAGAACCUGAAACCGUGUACGUACAAGCAGUGGGAGCCUCUUUAUGGGGUGACUGCGUACCUUUUGUAUAAUGGGUCAGCGACUUAUAUUCUGUAGCAAGGUUAACCGAAUAGGGGAGCCGAAGGGAAACCGAGUCUUAACUGGGCGUUAAGUUGCAGGGUAUAGACCCGAAACCCGGUGAUCUAGCCAUGGGCAGGUUGAAGGUUGGGUAACACUAACUGGAGGACCGAACCGACUAAUGUUGAAAAAUUAGCGGAUGACUUGUGGCUGGGGGUGAAAGGCCAAUCAAACCGGGAGAUAGCUGGUUCUCCCCGAAAGCUAUUUAGGUAGCGCCUCGUGAAUUCAUCUCCGGGGGUAGAGCACUGUUUCGGCAAGGGGGUCAUCCCGACUUACCAACCCGAUGCAAACUGCGAAUACCGGAGAAUGUUAUCACGGGAGACACACGGCGGGUGCUAACGUCCGUCGUGAAGAGGGAAACAACCCAGACCGCCAGCUAAGGUCCCAAAGUCAUGGUUAAGUGGGAAACGAUGUGGGAAGGCCCAGACAGCCAGGAUGUUGGCUUAGAAGCAGCCAUCAUUUAAAGAAAGCGUAAUAGCUCACUGGUCGAGUCGGCCUGCGCGGAAGAUGUAACGGGGCUAAACCAUGCACCGAAGCUGCGGCAGCGACGCUUAUGCGUUGUUGGGUAGGGGAGCGUUCUGUAAGCCUGUGAAGGUGUGCUGUGAGGCAUGCUGGAGGUAUCAGAAGUGCGAAUGCUGACAUAAGUAACGAUAAAGCGGGUGAAAAGCCCGCUCGCCGGAAGACCAAGGGUUCCUGUCCAACGUUAAUCGGGGCAGGGUGAGUCGACCCCUAAGGCGAGGCCGAAAGGCGUAGUCGAUGGGAAACAGGUUAAUAUUCCUGUACUUGGUGUUACUGCGAAGGGGGGACGGAGAAGGCUAUGUUGGCCGGGCGACGGUUGUCCCGGUUUAAGCGUGUAGGCUGAUUUUCCAGGCAAAUCCGGAAAAUCAAGGCUGAGGCGUGAUGACGAGGCACUACGGUGCUGAAGCAACAAAUGCCCUGCUUCCAGGAAAAGCCUCUAAGCAUCAGGUAACAUCAAAUCGUACCCCAAACCGACACAGGUGGUCAGGUAGAGAAUACCAAGGCGCUUGAGAGAACUCGGGUGAAGGAACUAGGCAAAAUGGUGCCGUAACUUCGGGAGAAGGCACGCUGAUAUGUAGGUGAAGCGACUUGCUCGUGGAGCUGAAAUCAGUCGAAGAUACCAGCUGGCUGCAACUGUUUAUUAAAAACACAGCACUGUGCAAACACGAAAGUGGACGUAUACGGUGUGACGCCUGCCCGGUGCCGGAAGGUUAAUUGAUGGGGUUAGCGGCAACGCGAAGCUCUUGAUCGAAGCCCCGGUAAACGGCGGCCGUAACUAUAACGGUCCUAAGGUAGCGAAAUUCCUUGUCGGGUAAGUUCCGACCUGCACGAAUGGCGUAAUGAUGGCCAGGCUGUCUCCACCCGAGACUCAGUGAAAUUGAACUCGCUGUGAAGAUGCAGUGUACCCGCGGCAAGACGGAAAGACCCCGUGAACCUUUACUAUAGCUUGACACUGAACAUUGAGCCUUGAUGUGUAGGAUAGGUGGGAGGCUUUGAAGUGUGGACGCCAGUCUGCAUGGAGCCGACCUUGAAAUACCACCCUUUAAUGUUUGAUGUUCUAACGUUGGCCCGUAAUCCGGGUUGCGGACAGUGUCUGGUGGGUAGUUUGACUGGGGCGGUCUCCUCCUAAAGAGUAACGGAGGAGCACGAAGGUUGGCUAAUCCUGGUCGGACAUCAGGAGGUUAGUGCAAUGGCAUAAGCCAGCUUGACUGCGAGCGUGACGGCGCGAGCAGGUGCGAAAGCAGGUCAUAGUGAUCCGGUGGUUCUGAAUGGAAGGGCCAUCGCUCAACGGAUAAAAGGUACUCCGGGGAUAACAGGCUGAUACCGCCCAAGAGUUCAUAUCGACGGCGGUGUUUGGCACCUCGAUGUCGGCUCAUCACAUCCUGGGGCUGAAGUAGGUCCCAAGGGUAUGGCUGUUCGCCAUUUAAAGUGGUACGCGAGCUGGGUUUAGAACGUCGUGAGACAGUUCGGUCCCUAUCUGCCGUGGGCGCUGGAGAACUGAGGGGGGCUGCUCCUAGUACGAGAGGACCGGAGUGGACGCAUCACUGGUGUUCGGGUUGUCAUGCCAAUGGCACUGCCCGGUAGCUAAAUGCGGAAGAGAUAAGUGCUGAAAGCAUCUAAGCACGAAACUUGCCCCGAGAUGAGUUCUCCCUGACUCCUUGAGAGUCCUGAAGGAACGUUGAAGACGACGACGUUGAUAGGCCGGGUGUGUAAGCGCAGCGAUGCGUUGAGCUAACCGGUACUAAUGAACCGUGAGGCUUAACCUU
This 2905-nucleotide ribosomal RNA is filed under the name Escherichia coli. RNAcentral's name for it is "23S ribosomal RNA". It matches the Rfam family "Bacterial large subunit ribosomal RNA". The record is from RNAcentral. Lineage: Bacteria; Pseudomonadati; Pseudomonadota; Gammaproteobacteria; Enterobacterales; Enterobacteriaceae.